This 434-nucleotide ribosomal RNA is filed under the name uncultured bacterium. Its description in RNAcentral is "partial 16S ribosomal RNA". It matches the Rfam family "Bacterial small subunit ribosomal RNA", at positions 29 to 507 of the family's 1533-position model. The record is from RNAcentral.
AGCGAACGCUGGCGGCAGGCCUAACACAUGCAAGUCGAACGAACCUUUCGGGGUUAGUGGCGGACGGGUGAGUAACACGUGGGAACGUGCCUUUAGGUUCGGAAUAACUCAGGGAAACUUGUGCUAAUACCGAAUGUGCCCUUCGGGGGAAAGAUUAAUCGCCUUUAGAGCGGCCCGCGUCUGAUUAGCUAGUUGGUUGAGGUAAUGGCUCACCAAGGCGACGAUCAGGAGCUGGUCUGAGAGGAUGAUCAGCCACAUUGGGACUGAGACACGGCCCAAACUCCUACGGGAGGCAGCAGUGGGGAAUCUUGCGCAAUGGGCGAAAGCCUGACGCAGCCAUGCCGCGUGAAUGAUGAAGGUCUUAGGAUUGUAAAAUUCUUUCACCGGGGACGAUAAUGACGGUACCCGGAGAAGAAGCCCCGGCUAACUUCGUG